RNAcentral lists this ribosomal RNA (259 nucleotides) under uncultured bacterium. Its description in RNAcentral is "partial 16S ribosomal RNA". It matches the Rfam family "Bacterial small subunit ribosomal RNA", at positions 793 to 1055 of the family's 1533-position model. The record is from RNAcentral.
GUCCACGCCGUAAACUAUGAUUACUCGAUGUUUGCGAUACACUGUAAGCGUCUAAGCGAAAGCGAUAAGUAAUCCACCUGGGGAGUACGCUCGCAAGAGUGAAACUCAAAAGGAAUUGACGGGGGCCCGCACAAGCGGAGGAGUAUGUGGUUUAAUUCGAUGAUACGCGAGGAACCUUACCUGGGCUUGAAAGUUAGUGACCGGUCCUGAAAGGGAUCUUCCAGCAAUGGCACGAAACUAGGUGCUGCAUGGCUGUCGU